This 510-nucleotide ribosomal RNA is filed under the name uncultured bacterium. RNAcentral's name for it is "partial 16S ribosomal RNA". It matches the Rfam family "Bacterial small subunit ribosomal RNA", at positions 28 to 507 of the family's 1533-position model. The record is from RNAcentral.
GACGAACGCUGGCGGCGUGCUUAACACAUGCCAGUCGAACGAAGAGCGAUGGAAGCUUGCUUCUAUCAAUCUUAGUGGCGAACGGGUGAGUAACGCGUAAUCAACCUGCCCUUCAGAGGGGGACAACAGUUGGAAACGACUGCUAAUACCGCAUACGAUCUAACCUCGGCAUCGAGGAUGGAUGAAAGGUGGCCUCUAUUUAUAAGCUAUCACUGAAGGAGGGGAUUGCGUCUGAUUAGCUAGUUGGAGGGGUAACGGCCCACCAAGGCGAUGAUCAGUAGCCGGUCUGAGAGGAUGAACGGCCACAUUGGGACUGAGACACGGCCCAGACUCCUACGGGAGGCAGCAGUGGGGAAUCUUCCGCAAUGGACGAAAGUCUGACGGAGCAACGCCGCGUGAGUGAUGACGGCCUUCGGGUUGUAAAGCUCUGUUAAUCGGGACGAAAGGCCUUCUUGCGAAUAGUUAGAAGGAUUGACGGUACCGGAAGAGAAAGCCACGGCUAACUACGUG